This 403-nucleotide ribosomal RNA is filed under the name uncultured bacterium. RNAcentral's name for it is "bacterial SSU rRNA". It matches the Rfam family "Bacterial small subunit ribosomal RNA", at positions 354 to 774 of the family's 1533-position model. The record is from RNAcentral.
GUGGGGAAUCUUGGACAAUGGGGGCAACCCUGAUCCAGCGAUGCCGCGUGAGCGAAGAAGGCCUUAGGGUUGUAAAGCUCUUUCGCCCGCGACGAUGAUGACGGUAGCGGGAGAAGAAGCCCCGGCUAACUCCGUGCCAGCAGCCGCGGUAAUACGGAGGGGGCUAGCGUUGUCCGGAAUUACUGGGCGUAAAGCGCGCGUAGGCGGUCCACCAAGUCGGGGGUGAAAGCCCGGGGCUCAACCCCGGAAUGUCCUCCGAGACUGUUGGACUGGAGUUCGGGAGAGGAGAGCGGAAUUCCCAGUGUAGAGGUGAAAUUCGUAGAUAUUGGGAAGAACACCGGUGGCGAAGGCGGCUCUCUGGCCCGCAACUGACGCUGAGGCGCGAAAGCGUGGGGAGCAAACA